GACGAACGCUGGCGGCGUGCUUAACACAUGCAAGUCGAACGGAAAGGCCCUGCUUGCCGGGUACUCGAGUGGCGAACGGGUGAGUAACACGUGGGUGAUCUGCCCUGCACUUCGGGAUAAGCCUGGGAAACUGGGUCUAAUACCGGAUAGGAGCCAUUUUUAGUGUGAUGGUUGGAAAGUUUUUUCGGUGUAGGAUGAGCUCGCGGCCUAUCAGCUUGUUGGUGGGGUAAUGGCCUACCAAGGCGGCGACGGGUAGCCGGCCUGGGAGGGUGGACGGCCACAUUGGGACUGGGAUACGGCCCAGACUCCUACGGGGGGCAGCAGUGGGGGAUAUUGCACAAUGGGGGCAAGCCUGAUGCAGCGACGCCGCGGGGGGGAUGACGGGCUUCGGGUUGUAAACUCCUUUCGCUAGGGACGAAGCUUUUUGUGACGGUACCUAGAUAAGAAGCACCGGCUAACUACGUG
Molecule: ribosomal RNA, 465 nt
Filed under: uncultured bacterium
Lineage: Bacteria
Description: partial 16S ribosomal RNA
Rfam family: Bacterial small subunit ribosomal RNA
Source: RNAcentral